GGAACACUGCAGUGAUGUUUUACAGUAAGCCAGGUGAGGAACACUGCAGGUGAUGUUUUACAGUAAGCCAGGUGAGGAACACUGCAGGUGAUGUUUUACAGUAAGCCAGGUGAGGAACAUUGCAGUGAUGUUUUACAGUAAGCCAGGUGAGGAACACUGCAGUGAUGUUUUACAGUAAGCCAGGUGAGGAACACUGCAGUGAUGUUUUACAGUAAGCCAGGUGAGGAACACUGCAGUGUUCCUCACCUGGCUUACUGUAAAACAUCACUGCAGUGUUCCUCACCUGGCUUACUGUAAAACAUCACUGCAGUGUUCCUCACCUGGCUUACUG
Oncorhynchus tshawytscha (Chinook salmon) is the source of this 331-nucleotide long non-coding RNA. Lineage: Eukaryota; Metazoa; Chordata; Actinopteri; Salmoniformes; Salmonidae. The record is from Ensembl.